RNAcentral lists this ribosomal RNA (2931 nucleotides) under Triticum aestivum (bread wheat). RNAcentral describes it as "partial small subunit ribosomal RNA". The record is from RNAcentral. Lineage: Eukaryota; Viridiplantae; Streptophyta; Magnoliopsida; Poales; Poaceae.
AUGGCGCUCCCUCGCCUCCUCCUCCUCCAAUGGAGCUGCAGCAGCCUAACAAUCCUGCUGCUGGCCGGCGGCGGGGGAGUGAGAGAGGCGGCGGCGCGCACGGUGCCGGUGGAGUUCCUCUACCCGCCCUACAACCUCACCUACAUGCACUACAUCGACACCAGCGGCGUCUUCCUCCGCUCCCCCAACGACACCUUCUCCGCCGCCGUCUUCAACGCCGGCGCGGACGACUCCUCCGGCUCCGACUCCCCCUCCGCCGGCGAGGAGACCCAGAUGUCCCGCUACUUCUUCUCCGUCCUGCACGACCGCUCCCGCACCCCGGUCUGGGCCGCCACCGCCGGCUCCACCAUCGUCCAGUCCAUCAUCCUCUCCCUCAACGCCUCCGGCCUCUACAUCUCCGACCCCGCCGACCAGUCCGGCCCCUCCUGGUCCACGCCCCGCCUCGCCGCCCCCGUCGCCGCGCUCCGCCUGCUCGACACCGGCCAGCUCGCGCUCAUCGACGCCGGCAACGCCACGCUCUGGUCCACCUUCGACGCGCCCACCGACACGCUGCUCCAGGGCCAGGUCCUCCCCGUCGGCGUCCUCCUCACCGCCACCGCGUCGGAGCAGGACCUCUCCCCCGGCGCCUACCGCCUCCUCCUCACCCCCGCCGACGCGCUCCUCCAGUGGGCCUCCUCCUCCGACGGCAGAGGUGACUUCGUCACGUACUGGGCGCUCUCCUCCGACCCGGCGUCGGUCCAGGACUCCAACCGCGCCGUGCGAUCCAUGAUGGUCAACGCCUCCGGCAUCUACCUCCUCGCCGACGACGAUGGCCGGGACACCGUCUUCAGCCUCCGCUUCGCGUCGCCGCCCGCGCCGGCCACCAGGAUGCUCCUCAAGCUCGACCCCUCCGGCCGCCUGCGCGCGCUCAGCACGGCCUACUCCCCCACGGCGGCGCGAGCCACGCUCCCCGCCGUCUGGGCCGCUCCGGCGAGCGACUGCGACCUCCCGCUGCCGUGCGGCUCCCUCGGCCUCUGCACGCCCGGCAACAACGGAUCCUCCUGCAUGUGCCCCGACGCCUUCACCACGCACACCACCGGCGGCUGCUCGCCGGCCGACGGCUCCUCGCUCCCUGUCUUGUCUGACAGCUGCCUCGCCGGCAACGCCUCCUCCAAGUCCAAGCCGUCGUCGUCGGCAGCACCCUCGGCGACUCCUUACAGCUACACGAGGCUGGGCGACGGGAUCGGCUACUUCGCCGGCAAGUUCGCGCUCCCGACGACGGCCGGCGACGCGCUCUCGGCGUGCCGCGACCUCUGCUCCGCCAACUGCUCCUGCGUCGGCUUCGUCUACAAGAACUCCUCCAAGUCCUGCUUCCUCAUGCACAACCAGAUCGGCUCCAUGUUCCGCGUCGGCAACAGCGCAGCCGCCGCCGCCGUCGCCUUCAUCAAGACGGUCCCGCCGGCUCCACCUCGCGGCCAAGGCAGUGGCGGCGGCUCCUCGUCCCUGAGCACCAUCACCAUCGUAUUCGGCAUCGUGCUGCCGGCCGUGGCGGCCGUGUUCAUCACCUUCCUUCUCUACGUGCUGGGCGUGCACUGGCUGAAGAACCGCCAUGGCGGCGCCAGCACCAACGGCAAGGCCAAGAAGAAGAAGCACGGCCACGGCGGCAGCAGCUGGUUCAUGCUGCACAUGAUGCCGUCCUUGUCGUCGUCGCGGGCAUCGUCCAACGUACCCUCGGAGAAGGGGGACGGCGACGAAAGCGAGGACGACGACGACGAGGUACUCAUCCCCGGCCUGCCGACCCGGUUCACGUUCGUCGACCUGGAGACGGCCACCAACGGCUUCAAGUGGCAGAUCGGCUCCGGCGGGUUCGGCUCCGUGUACCGCGGCGAGCUCCCGGACCGGACCACCGUGGCCGUCAAGCGGAUGAACAACCUGGGCAUGCAGGGCCGGCGCGAGUUCCUCACGGAGAUCGCCGUCAUCGGCAACGUACACCACGUGAACCUCGUCAAGCUCCGCGGGUUCUGCGCCGAGGGCGCGCGGCAGCAGCUGCUCGUCUACGAGUACAUGAACCGCGGCUCGCUCGACCAGUCCCUCUUCUUCUCCCGCGCCGGUGCCGGCGCCGGCGCCGCCGCGAAGAAGAGGGACGUGCUGGAGUGGCCGGAGCGUCUCGCCGUGUGCGUGGGCGCGGCGCGCGGGCUGGCGUACCUCCACGCCGGCUGCGACCGAAAGAUCCUGCACUGCGACGUGAAGCCGGAGAACAUCCUGCUGGACGACCGCGGCGGCGUCAAGAUCGCCGACUUCGGGCUGGCCAAGCUGAUGAGCCCGGAGCAGUCGGGGCUCUUCACCACCAUGCGCGGCACCCGCGGGUACCUGGCGCCCGAGUGGCUCAUGAACGCGCCCAUCACCGACAAGGCCGACGUCUACAGCUUCGGCAUGGUGCUGCUGGAGAUUCUGCGCGGCCGCAAGAACUCCAAGCAGGACGACGAUGAGCACCACACCACCACCACCACCGGCAGCAGCACCAGCGCCGCGUCGUCGGACGGCGGUGUCGCCGGCGAGGCGACCAAGGCCAGGAGCAGCUACUUCCCGGCGCUGGCGCUGGACCUGCACGAGGAGGGGCGGUGCCUGGAGCUGGUGGACCCGAGGCUGGAGGGCCGGGCGGACGCGACGGAGGUGGCGCGGGUGGUGCGCGUGGCGCUGUGCUGCCUCCAGGAGGAGGCGGCGGUGCGGCCGGCCAUGACGGCGGUGUCCGGCAUGCUCGACGGCAGCAUGGACGUGUGCGCGCCCAGGACGGAGCAGCUCGCGUACCUCAGGAUGUACGGGCGCGGCCUCGUCGACGUCCGGCCCGGCGGGUGGAAGGGGAAGUGGAAGGGCUCGGACAUGACCGCCGGCAGCAGCAGCUGGUCGCCGCCGUCGUGCGUGUCGGCACAGCAGCUCUCGGCUCCCAGAUGA